This 170-nucleotide ribosomal RNA is filed under the name Pronotogrammus multifasciatus (threadfin bass). RNAcentral's name for it is "partial small subunit ribosomal RNA". Lineage: Eukaryota; Metazoa; Chordata; Actinopteri; Perciformes; Anthiadidae. The record is from RNAcentral.
CACCGCGGUUAUACGAAGGGCCCAAGUUGAUAGUUGCCGGCGUAAAGCGUGGUUAGGUUAAAAUUUGAAACUAAAGCCGAACGUACGCAAAGCUGUUAUACGCGUUUGAACAACGGAAGCCCAAUUACGAAAGUAGCUUUAUGUUAGCUGAACCCACGAAAGCUAGGGCA